This 74-nucleotide transfer RNA is filed under the name Candidatus Altimarinota bacterium. Its description in RNAcentral is "tRNA-Cys". It matches the Rfam family "tRNA". From Rfam's summary of the family: Transfer RNA (tRNA) molecules are approximately 80 nucleotides in length. Their secondary structure includes four short double-helical elements and three loops (D, anti-codon, and T loops). Further hydrogen bonds mediate the characteristic L-shaped molecular structure. tRNAs have two regions of fundamental functional importance: the anti-codon, which is responsible for specific mRNA codon recognition, and the 3' end, to which the tRNAs corresponding amino acid is attached (by aminoacyl-tRNA synthetases). tRNAs cope with the degeneracy of the genetic code in two manners: having more than one tRNA (with a specific anti-codon) for a particular amino acid; and 'wobble' base-pairing, i.e. permitting non-standard base-pairing at the 3rd anti-codon position. The record is from RNAcentral. Lineage: Bacteria; Candidatus Altimarinota.
GGCGCCUUGGCAGAUCGGUUAUGCAGGAGCCUGCAAAGCUCUGUAGAGCGGUUCAACUCCGCUAGGUGCCUCCA